UCGGAAUCACUGGGCGUAAAGGGCGCGUAGGCGGAUUAUCAAGUCUCUUGUGAAAUCUAAUGGCUUAACCAUUAAACUGCUUGGGAAACUGAUAGUCUAGAGUGAGGGAGAGGCAGAUGGAAUUGGUGGUGUAGGGGUAAAAUCCGUAGAUAUCACCAAGAAUACCCAUUGCGAAGGCGAUCUGCUGGAACUCAACUGACGCUAAGGCGCGAAAGCGUGGGGAGCAAACAGGAUUAGAUACCCUGGUAGUCCACGCCCUAAACGAUGUACACUAGUUGUUGGGGUGCUAGUCAUCUCAGUAAUGCAGCUAACGCAUUAAGUGUACCGCCUGGGGAGUACGGUCGCAAGAUUAAAACUCAAAGGAAUAGACGGGGACCCGCACAAGCGGUGGAGCAUGUGGUUUAAUUCGAAGAUACGCGAAGAACCUUACCUGGGCUUGAUAUCCUAAGAACCUUUUAGAGAUAAGAGGGUGCUAGCUUGCUAGAACUUAGAGACAGGUGCUGCACGGCUGUCGUCAGCUCGUGUCGUGAGAUGUUGGGUUAAGUCCCGCAACGAGCGCAACCCACGUAUUUAGUUGCUAACGGUUCGGCCGAGCACUCUAAAUAGACUGCCUUCGUAAGGAGGAGGAAGGUGUGGACGACGUCAAGUCAUCAUGGCCCUUAUGCCCAGGGCGACACACGUGCUACAAUGGCAUAUACAAUGAGACGCAAUACCGCGAGGUGGAGCAAAUCUAUAAAAUAUGUCCCAGUUCGGAUUGUUCUCUGCAACUCGAGAGCAUGAAGCCGGAAUCGCUAGUAAUCGUAGAUCAGCCAUGCUACGGUGAAUACGUUCCCGGGUCUUGUACUCACCGCCCGUCACACCAUGGGAGUUGAUUUCACUCGAAGCCGGAAUACUAAACUAGUUACCGUCCACAGUGGAAUCAGCGACUGGGGUGAAGUCGUAACAAGGUAACCGUAGGAGAACCUGCGGUUGGAUCACCUCCUUUCUA
Molecule: ribosomal RNA, 988 nt
Filed under: Salmonella enterica subsp. enterica serovar Panama
Lineage: Bacteria; Pseudomonadati; Pseudomonadota; Gammaproteobacteria; Enterobacterales; Enterobacteriaceae
Also listed under: 3 other names
Description: bacterial SSU rRNA
Rfam family: Bacterial small subunit ribosomal RNA
Source: RNAcentral